Molecule: long non-coding RNA, 1858 nt
Filed under: Marmota monax (woodchuck)
Lineage: Eukaryota; Metazoa; Chordata; Mammalia; Rodentia; Sciuridae
Source: RNAcentral
CCUCUCCCUGUCCUCUCGCAACUGUCAGGCGAAACGGGCCCGCGCAUAUUGGCUCGGCUACACGCCGAGGCUCCUCCCCGAGUCUGGAUCUUUAUAUUUUGGGAGAAUUUCUUUGAACUCAGUUAGCAAGCUCGGUGAAGGAGGCAAGUUCCCACAGCCGGCUCGGUAGACGGGGUCCGCGCGCCGACCCAGGCGAGGCAGCGCGAGGGCUCGCCCACCUUCCCCGCAGCGGCCGUGCGUCCCGAUCCUAUUCCUCUUUUCCCUGGUGGAGAACUGAGGACUUACUUGACUGAGGAAAAUGCCAAUGAUGUGGAUGUGACCAUGAAAAGAGAACGUGUGACUGGAGGAGGCAGAAGAGGAUGAGGAAAAGCGUUAUUUGAAGAGAAGAAUAAGCCAGCCACUCCAACGUUUUCUGCAAAUUGGUGCAAUUACUUCUGGGGUCCAUUUGCUUUUAUUCUUUCUAACCCACAAUUAAGAAAUCUUGAUUUGAGGGUCAAGAGACAACCUCUUACAAUUGGGGAACGCUUCUGGUUGGCAGAUCUUUUGGAUGUAACAUUAUUGGAACAUUUAGACUCUCCUCGGGAAAAGCCACCAUGAAUUCGGUAGCUGGGAAUAAAGAGAGGCUUGCGGUCUCCAACCGGGGCAAGAAAUACGGGGUAAGUUGUCACGGGUUCAACACCGAGACGCGUUACCAGACCCAUCUCGGCCGGGGUCCUUCUUUCUCGGGAACGGGUGGCUCCGGCAGAGCUACCCCCAGGAGCCGGUGGCCAGCGCGCGGAUCCGAGCUCUCCUCCCGCUGCAGGGACACCUCCGCUGUGCGUGCGCGGAGGCGGGUCUGUUGCGAGGACACCCGCACACUCGCCUCGCUCUCGGAUUUUUUUCAGUCGGUUUAAUCUUUUCUUUUCUCCGGAUCCAUAACUUUUGCGGUAUUCCUGGACUUCUAGGCAGAGUUAAGCCGUAAGGAAUGUUUCCCAUGAAAUCUCUGCCUUUGGUUGCACGGAUCGUUUCCCGGGAUCCGGGAGAUCCUUUCAUUUUACCGGCAGGAUCCGGUGGGCUGUUCCCUGAAUGAAUAAAAACCCAUAAGUCACAGGGCCCUCAGAAUAGGGUCUUCUAGGAUCUUGUAACUGGGUUCUUGCUGGGGUGGGUGCCAGGUCCAAAAGCACGGGGCGCUGAAUCAGUGGGUACCCCCUGCAGAAACCGUUGAAAACCCCUCAAGUAAACCCUUCUCCUGACCUGAGGCACCCAGAAACCGGAGCAGGGGUCACUCGGAAGGCGGGGUAUCACCUUAGGACAAUUAACGAGAUAGAAGGAGGGCAACUUAGCUGCAGGGCUAGCAGCAGCCGGGAACCGGAGCCCGUGGGCUUUCGGCCAGGCGCUCGGUGGCAUGCGGAUACCCCGGCGGGCGGGCAGAACGGCGCCCCCAGGCCCGCCCAGCUCCAGAGAGCGGGAGUCCGCCGCCUCGCGGCCCCUGACACCCGCGUGUCUCCCCCUGCAGGUGAAUGAGGUCUGCUCGCCCACCAAGCCCGCGGCUCCCUUCUCCCCUGAGAGCUGGUACAGGAAAGCGUACGAGGAAUCGCGCGCUGGGAGCCGGCCUACCCCCGAGGGCGCAGGCUCGGCGCUGGGCUCGUCGGGGACCCCGUCCCCCGGCUCGGGCACCUCGUCCCCGAGCUCCUUCACCGGAUCCCCGGGUCCCGCCUCUCCGGGCAUCGGCACCAGCUCGCCGGGCUCCCUGGGCGGCUCGCCGGGCUUCGGCACCGGCUCCCCGGGCUCUGGCAGCGGCGGCGGCUCCUCCCCCGGCUCGGACCGCGGCGUCUGGUGCGAGAACUGCAACGCCCGCCUGGUGGAGCUGAAGAGGCAG